This 835-nucleotide ribosomal RNA is filed under the name uncultured Fluviicola sp. Its description in RNAcentral is "bacterial SSU rRNA". It matches the Rfam family "Bacterial small subunit ribosomal RNA", at positions 55 to 884 of the family's 1533-position model. The record is from RNAcentral. Lineage: Bacteria; Pseudomonadati; Bacteroidota; Flavobacteriia; Flavobacteriales; Crocinitomicaceae.
GUGCAAGGUCGGAACGGGAUUCAAAGUAGCAAUAUUUUGAUGAGAGUGGCGCACGGGUGAGUAACACGUAUGCAAUUUACCUUUAACUGGGGGAUAGCCCUCCGAAAGGAGGAUUAAUACCGCAUAAUAUAUUGAAAUGGCAUCAUUUUAAUAUUAAACCUACGGGGGUUAAAGAUGAGCAUGCAUCCGAUUAGCUAGUUGGUGUGGUAACGGCUCACCAAGGCAACGAUCGGUAGGGGGUCUGAGAGGAUGAUCCCCCACACUGGUACUGAGACACGGACCAGACUCCUACGGGAGGCAGCAGUAAGGAAUAUUGGACAAUGGAGGCAACUCUGAUCCAGCCAUGCCGCGUGAAGGAUUAAGGCCCUAUGGGUUGUAAACUUCUUUUAGACGGGACAAAACCCCUUUACGUGUAAAGGGUUGAUGGUACUGUCAGAAUAAGCAUCGGCUAACUUCGUGCCAGCAGCCGCGGUAAUACGAAGGAUGCAAGCGUUAUCCGGAAUUAUUGGGUUUAAAGGGUGCGUAGGCGGACUAAUAAGUCAGUGGUGAAAGCCUGCAGCUUAACUGCASAAUUGCCGUUGAUACUGUUAGUCUUGAGUACAGUUGAGGUAGGCGGAAUGUGUCAUGUAKCGGUGAAAUGCUUAGAUAUGACACAGAACACCGAUUGCGAAGGCAGCUUGCUAAGCUGUAACUGACGCUGAGGCACGAAAGCGUGGGGAGCAAACAGGAUUAGAUACCCUGAUAGUCCACGCCCUAAACGAUGAUAACUCGCUGUUGGCGAUAUACUGUCAGCAGCCAAGCGAAAGCAUUUAAGUUAUCCACCUGGGGGAGUACG